RNAcentral lists this ribosomal RNA (421 nucleotides) under uncultured bacterium. RNAcentral's name for it is "partial 16S ribosomal RNA". It matches the Rfam family "Bacterial small subunit ribosomal RNA", at positions 360 to 773 of the family's 1533-position model. The record is from RNAcentral.
AAUAUUGGACAAUGGGGGCAACCCUGAUCCACCCAUGCCGCGUGUGUGAAGCAGGUCUUCGGAUUGUAAAGCACUUUACGUUGGUAGGAAGGGCAGUAAGUUACUACCUUGCUGUUUUGCCGUUACCGACACAAUAAGCCCCGGCUAACUCUGUUCCAGCAGCCGCGGUACUACAGAGGGUGCAAGGGUUAAUCGGAAUUACUGGGCGUAAAGCGGGAGUAGGUGGUUCAGGAAGAUGGGUGUGAAAUCCCCGGGCUUAACCUGGGAACUGCUUUCAUAACGGGUGGGGUAGAGGACGGUAGAGGGUAGUGGAAUUUCCUGUGUAGCGGUGAAAUGCGUAGAUAUAGGAAGGAACUCCAGUGGCGAAGGCGACUACCUGGACUGAGACUGACACUGAGGUGCGAAAGGGUGGGGAGCAAAC